RNAcentral lists this ribosomal RNA (597 nucleotides) under Daphnia galeata. RNAcentral describes it as "SSU rRNA". It matches the Rfam family "Eukaryotic small subunit ribosomal RNA", at positions 16 to 556 of the family's 1831-position model. Lineage: Eukaryota; Metazoa; Arthropoda; Branchiopoda; Diplostraca; Daphniidae. The record is from RNAcentral.
GCCAGUAGCAUAUGCUUGUCUCAAAGAUUAAGCCAUGCAUGUCUAAGUACAAGCCGCUAGUUCGGCGAAACCGCGAAUGGCUCAAUAAAUCAGUUAUGGUUCCUUAGAUCCACUCCAUCCUACUUGGAUAACUGUGGUAAUUCUAGAGCUAAUACAUGCACUCGAGCCUCGACCGAGGCCCCGGCAACGGGGUCGCGGAAGAGGUGCUUUUAUUAGAUCAAAACCAGUCGGGGAAACGAUCGCCGGGUCAAACCGGUCGGUCGCGGAACCGUACCAAUUUUGGUGACUCUGGAUAACUUCACGCCGAUCGCACGGCCUUCGCGCCGGCGACGUAUCUUUCAAAUGUCUGCCUUAUCAACUGUCGAUGGUAGGUUACGCGCCUACCAUGGUUGCAACGGGUAACGGGGAAUCGGGGUUCGAUUCCGGAGAGGGAGCCUGAGAAACGGCUACCACAUCCAAGGAAGGCAGCAGGCGCGCAAAUUACCCACUCCCGGCACGGGGAGGUAGUGACGAAAAAUAACGAUACGGGACUCUUCCGAGGCCCCGUGAUUGGAAUGAGUACACUUUAAAUCCUUUAACGAGGAACCAUUGGAGGGC